AUUGAACGCUGGCGGCAUGCCUUACACAUGCAAGUCGAACGGCAACACGGGAGCAAUCCUGGUGGCGAGUGGCGAACGGGUGAGUAAUAUAUCGGAACGUGCCCAGUCGUGGGGAUAACGUAGCGAAAGCUACGCUAAUACCGCAUACGAUCUAUGGAUGAAAGCGGGGGAUCGCAAGACCUCGCGCGAUUGGAGCGGCCGAUAUCAGAUUAGGUAGUUGGUGAGGUAAAGGCUCACCAAGCCGACGAUCUGUAGCUGGUCUGAGAGGACGACCAGCCACACUGGGACUGAGACACGGCCCAGACUCCUACGGGAGGCAGCAGUGGGGAAUUUGGACAAUGGGCGCAAGCCUGAUCCAGCAAUGCCGCGUGCAGGAUGAAGG
This 382-nucleotide ribosomal RNA is filed under the name uncultured bacterium. RNAcentral's name for it is "bacterial SSU rRNA". It matches the Rfam family "Bacterial small subunit ribosomal RNA", at positions 30 to 414 of the family's 1533-position model. The record is from RNAcentral.